UACGAAGGGGGCUAGCGUUGCUCGGAAUCACUGGGCGUAAAGGGUGCGUAGGCGGGUUCUUAAGUUAGAGGUGAAAGCCUGGAGCUCAACUCCAGAACUGCCUUUAAUACUGGGAAUCUUGAGUUCGGAAGAGGUGAGUGGAACUGCGAGUGUAGAGGUGAAAUUCGUAGAUAUUCGCAAGAACACCAGUGGCGAAGGCGGCUCACUGGUCCGAUACUGACGCUGAGGCACGAAAGCGUGGGGAGCAAGCAGG
RNAcentral lists this ribosomal RNA (253 nucleotides) under uncultured bacterium. RNAcentral describes it as "partial 16S ribosomal RNA". It matches the Rfam family "Bacterial small subunit ribosomal RNA", at positions 524 to 776 of the family's 1533-position model. The record is from RNAcentral.